Molecule: unclassified non-coding RNA, 253 nt
Filed under: uncultured Bacteroidales bacterium
Lineage: Bacteria; Pseudomonadati; Bacteroidota; Bacteroidia; Bacteroidales
Description: contains 16S-23S intergenic spacer region
Rfam family: Bacterial small subunit ribosomal RNA
Source: RNAcentral
UACGGAGGAUGCAAGCGUUAUCCGGAUUCAUUGGGUUUAAAGGGUGCGUCGGCGGUUUUUUAAGUCAGUGGUGAAAUCCUGCCGCUUAACGGUAGAAUUGUCAUUGAUACUGAAAAGCUUGAGUACAUUUGAGGUAAGCGGAAUGUGUAGUGUAGCGGUGAAAUGCUUAGAUAUUACACAGAACACCAAUUGCGAAGGCAGCUUACUAAACUGUGACUGACGCUGAUGCACGAAAGCGUGGGGAGCGAACAGG